Molecule: transfer RNA, 73 nt
Organism: Ovis aries (sheep)
Lineage: Eukaryota; Metazoa; Chordata; Mammalia; Artiodactyla; Bovidae
Rfam family: tRNA
About the family: Transfer RNA (tRNA) molecules are approximately 80 nucleotides in length. Their secondary structure includes four short double-helical elements and three loops (D, anti-codon, and T loops).
Source: Rfam
UUCUUGAUGAUCUAGUGGUUAAGACUCUGCACUUUCAUUGCAGGAGAUGCAGGUUCAAACCCUAGUCCAGUAA